CUGGGAUUACAGGUGUGAGCCACCGUGCCCGGCCAACACUACAAUUUAAAUACGGUGUUUUGGAGUAAAAUAAAAACUAAGCAGAGACUACCUUGUCUGGCCAUGACAGAGUAACUGGUGUCAGAUGUACCUCCUUGCUAUAAAUAGGUGUUAUGGACUAAACGUUUGUGUCCCAACCUCAAAACUCAUAGCCUUAAUCGCUAAUGUGAUGGUAUUUGGAGAUGAGACCUUUGGGAGGUGAUUAGCAUUAGAUGAGUUUCUGAGGGUGGGGCCCUGAUGGAUAGGAUAAGUGCCCUUAGAAGAACAGAUACCACAGGGCUUGCUUCCCUCCACACACAUACACAAACAAGAGGUCACCACCUACAAGUCAAGAAAAGAGGCUGAAAAAUAAAACCUAUCUUGCUAAUAUCUUGAUCUUAGACUUUCUAGCUUCCAGAGCUGCAAGAAAUAAAAUUAUAUUGUUUAAGCCAUGCCAUUUACAGUAUUUUGUUAUAGCAGUUUUGUUACAGACUAAGAUAACAGCUAGCCACGACACUGAGCAAAAUGUAUGUGGCAACUGUUUUGAGACAGUAGACAAGAGGCAAUGCAGGAGAGUAACCCAUGAGAGACAAGAAACAUACCAGUCUGAAAUUAUUCAAACUAAAGAGUUACCAGAGAACUUGUCAUCACUGGAAGGAACAAGAGCUUCCCUCAAAAACAUGAUUCAGACUGCCAGUCUCAUCCUCUAAGCCAUGAGUCCCUGACUCCCCAGCCACGGACCAGUACCAGUUUGUGGCCCAUUAGGAACCAGGCCGCACAGCAGGAGGUGAGUGGUGGGUAAGUGAACAAAGCUUUAUCUGCAUUUGCGGUCACUCCCUGUCGCUCACAUUACCACCUGAGCUCCGCCUCCUGUCAAAUCAGCAGUGGCAUUAGAUUCUCAUAGGAGCACAAACCCUACUGUUAACUGAGCAUGCAGGGGAUCUAGGCUGCCCUCUCCUUAUAAGAAUCUAA
Molecule: long non-coding RNA, 990 nt
Filed under: Homo sapiens (human)
Lineage: Eukaryota; Metazoa; Chordata; Mammalia; Primates; Hominidae
Description: HSALNT0169800
Source: RNAcentral